Molecule: long non-coding RNA, 267 nt
Filed under: Daucus carota (carrot)
Lineage: Eukaryota; Viridiplantae; Streptophyta; Magnoliopsida; Apiales; Apiaceae
Description: long non-coding RNA (DCAR_LNC007332)
Source: RNAcentral
GAAAAUUUCUUAACUCGAAAAAUGACCAAAUUAAGUAGAAUUUAAAGUACAAUCUGAGUCAUCAACUUGAAAGAUACAAAAGAAACUAGUCUAAGGUACCAAGUUAAGAACCAUCCUCACAAAAGUUAAUCCACCAGCAAGCGUAGAGAUGAAGCUUUAAACUUAAAUGUGACUAAAAAUCUUCAUUCAUCACCAUGUUUAGCAACUACAUUUCCAUCUCCCUUGUCGUCAAGUUCAUCAUCAGAAGCACGCAACACUGCUAAAAGG